ACUGCAGCCCCUGGGUCUGUGCAUUUACGAGCCAAUCCCCCGGGAACUUUCCUCUCCAGCGCCAGGCAAAAUGAGACCUUGGAUCGCAGCUGUUUUCAUUGUAGCAGCUUUGGAAGGUGCCCGGUCCCAGGUGCAGCUGGUGGAGUCCGCAGGGGAUGUGAAAAAGCCCGGAGACUCUCUCCGCCUCUCCUGCAAAGCCUCCGGGUUCACCUUCAGCAGUGCCUAUAUGCACUGGGUCCGACAGGCCCCCGGGAAGGGGCUGGAGUGGGUGGCUCAGAUUAGCACGGAUGGAUCGAGCCAGUGGUAUUUGCCUGCUGUGAAAGGCCGAUUCACCAUCUCCAGGGACAACUCCAACAACCUGCUGAAUCUGCAAAUGACCGGCCUGAAGCCCGAGGACACCGCCCGCUAUUACUGUGCGAGAGACUCACGCUGAGAGGAAACCUGUGGAUGCUCGUACAAAAAACAGAGCUGCGGAACUUCCCGCGGCUGCCGCAUGGGGGCAGCAACGACACAAGCAAAACUCUCCUGCCUGGGGCGCAAGAGGGGGAGGGGCCUCAGGACUGAAAACUCUGACAUCGCGGAUUAACUCUUUCAUGUCCUGACUACAGCCCGCAUUUCAGUGCAUAGCAGAGCGCUGCUCGCCUCACGCAAACGGCUCUUCCCAUUGGCGUUAAUGGGGGAUCUCCAGGGAGCGAAACAACGAGCAAUUGGCUCUUCUCCGUAUGGCUAAACGUGCCGGGGAACAUUCCCUGUGGGCACCGCACAGUUCAGUGCAGCCGGUCACUGCUGGGCAGGGGAUCCAGUCCCAAUUCUCUGCCCGCGCCAGCGGGUGUCCCAGCCCCACGGGACCCCGUAAACCGACCCCCCCCCACCACCAGCCCCGCUGCUCGUGGGCCGGAGCUGCAGAGCUGAGAUU
This is a non-coding RNA of Mauremys mutica (yellowpond turtle), 916 nucleotides long. The record is from the annotation of a RefSeq genome assembly. NCBI's taxonomy places the organism in Eukaryota, Metazoa, Chordata, Testudines, Geoemydidae.